GAUUAACGCUAGCGGCAGGCCUAAUACAUGCAAGUCGAACGGGAUUUCGGGUAGCAAUAUCUGAAUGAGAGUGGCGUACGGGUGCGUAACACGUAUGCAAUCUACCUCUGACUGGGGAAUAGCCUUCCGAAAGGAAGAUUAAUACCGCAUAAAAUAAUGAAGUGGCAUCACUUUAUUAUCAAAACUCUGGUGGUCAGAGAUGAGCAUGCGUCCGAUUAGCUAGUUGGCGGGGUAACGGCCCACCAAGGCGACGAUCGGUAGGGGGUCGUGAGAGGA
RNAcentral lists this ribosomal RNA (276 nucleotides) under uncultured bacterium. Its description in RNAcentral is "partial 16S ribosomal RNA". It matches the Rfam family "Bacterial small subunit ribosomal RNA", at positions 28 to 300 of the family's 1533-position model. The record is from RNAcentral.